Molecule: ribosomal RNA, 255 nt
Filed under: uncultured bacterium
Lineage: Bacteria
Description: partial 16S ribosomal RNA
Rfam family: Bacterial small subunit ribosomal RNA
Source: RNAcentral
GACAGAGGUGCCGAGCGUUAGGCGGAAUCACUGGGCUUAAAGCGUGUGUAGGCGGACUUCUAAGUACCUUGUGAAAUCCCAUGGCUCAACCAUGGAACUGCUCGGUAUACUGGUUGUCUUGAGCCACUUAGGGGCAGUCGGAACAGACGGUGGAGCGGUGAAAUGCGUAGAUAUCGUCUGGAACGCCAAAGGUGAAAACAGACUGCGUGGGAGUGUGCUGACGCUGAGACACGAAAGCCAGGGGAGCAAACGGGG